CGCAAUGUCAUGCCAUUGCUUGGAUCCUAACAUUCUCUAAGCAGAAGUCGUCUGGUGCAAGACGAUUCAGAGAGACUAAAUCUACGGAUACAGAAAUCGAUCGAUCGAGAGAGAUCGGGUGUCAUAGAGAGCGAUCCAGAGAGAUAGAGAGAUCGGGAAAGACCAAGAGUUUGAGAGGACAGGUUGCUGACACAAGUGCAAGAAAUAUUGCUCGAAUAUAGUUUCUGUACAGUUACAGUGCAAGCACAGAAAGAGACUGCUCCAGACAUGCAAUGCAAGGACAAGUUUCUCCUUCAGAGUGUAAAAACCAAUGAUGGUGCAACUCCAAAGGAGAUUACUCUAGAAGUGGUACUUACAUUCCACAAUGUUGUGGAUUCUGAUGUGUGUGGGUUCUUUAUGUCGAAUGCUAUUCAUUUGGGGGAUUAGGAUUGUGUUUAGUUCAAUGAAGAGGCAGGACAUGUGGUUGAGGAGUGCAAAUUCAGAGUGGUGUAUGUUUCUCCACCUCAGCCCCCUUCUCCGGUCUCAGAAAGGUCGGAGGAAGGGUCUUCACCAAGAGCUUCAAUAGUGGAGAAUGAAAAUCUUAAUGCUGCUGAGAUUUCCAAUGCUGCAAAAGGACUUUCAGAGCAGCUUGAAUCUCUGGAGAGAUCCGCAGAGGUAAAUGCCUUCAUGUGCAGAAACUAAAGUCUUACAUUAUAUGUUUACUAUUUUGCCACAUAUACCUCAUCCAGUUUCUGAGUUUUUCUUUGCAAUUAAGAGAGACUGAUAUGCAUUUUUUUAGGUCAAAUAUCUGUUACUUUGUACGAUAGAAGAGUGGGUGUACUUUUUGAAUUUUAAAGAAACGGAAGCCCAUAAGGAUGACAGGAACCUAACACUCUCCCAAAGCUCAUUAACCCACACUUGCAUCAAUAGAUUCAAAAUCUGAUGAUUUCAAGGGGGACCUUAUUAAGUCAUCAAUUUCAUUAAUUCAAGCAACAAAUUCAGAUGAGGUCUUACUUGCGUAUGAAAUGAAUGGAGAGGUAAAUUAUGAACAGCUUUGCGUUACAUGGUUUUCAAUUAUUAGAUCAGAUUUCUUCUGAUUUUCUUAUGCUAAAGCCUCUAAACAGGGAUCAUGGCUAUCCUAUGCAUACAAUUUUUCCUAAAUGUAACACGUCAAUCAAUUUUUACAGAUGAAGUGAUUGCUGUUCACUUUCAAUUUGAUGGCCUAACAGAUCAUGAACUUGGAUCCUGGAGAACCAGUAACAGCUUAUAAAAAAGACUUGCAGGA
Molecule: long non-coding RNA, 1264 nt
Organism: Rosa chinensis
Lineage: Eukaryota; Viridiplantae; Streptophyta; Magnoliopsida; Rosales; Rosaceae
Exons: 4
Source: RefSeq, a predicted model, not a curated record